This 1244-nucleotide ribosomal RNA is filed under the name metagenome. Its description in RNAcentral is "bacterial LSU rRNA". It matches the Rfam family "Bacterial large subunit ribosomal RNA", at positions 1564 to 2817 of the family's 2925-position model. The record is from RNAcentral.
UGAGUACGAGACGCUAAGGCGUCGAAGUAGUGGAUGUCAUACUUCCAAGAAAAGCUUGCACUGUCAUAGAUAAAAAACGCCUGUACCAUAACCGACACAGGUGGGUAGGUAGAGUAUACUAAGGGGCGCGAGAUAACUCUCUCUAAGGAACUCGGCAAAAUGACUCCGUAACUUCGGGAGAAGGAGUGCCUUAUUCGUAAGGCUGCAUUAACAAGAUCCAAGCAACUGUUUAUCAAAAACACAGGUCUCCGCUAAGUCGUAAGACGAUGUAUGGGGGCUGACGCCUGCCCAGUGCCAGAAGGUUAAAGAAGUCGGUUAGCAUUAGCGAAGCUGGUAACUGAAGCCCUGGUGAACGGCGGCCGUAACAAUAACGGUCCUAAGGUAGCGAAAUUCCUUGUCGGGUAAGUUCCGACCCGCACGAAAGGCGUAAUGAUUUGGAUACUGUCUCGGAGAGGGGCUCGGUGAAAUAGACUUGUCUGCGAAGAUGCGGACUACCUGCACCAGGACAGAAAGACCCUAUGAAGCUUUACUGUAACUUGAAAUCGAAAUUGGACUUUAUUCGCGCAGUAUAGGAGGGAGGUGUUGAUUAUAAUCUUGCGGGAUUAUUGGAGCCAUCAGUGAGAUACCACUCUUGUAAUGUUAGAUUUCUAACUUUGAAUCAUUAUCUGGUCAAAGAACAGUUUCAGGCGGGCAGUUUGACUGGGGCGGUCGCCUCCUAAAUGGUAACGGAGGCGUACAAAGGUUUCCUCUGAACGGGUAGAAAUCGUAUCUAGAGUGUAAAGGCAUAAGGAAGCUUGACUGUGAGACCUACAAGUCGAGCAGGGACGAAAGUCGGUCUUAGUGAUCUGACGGUACUGAGUGGAAAGGCCGUCACUCAACGGAUAAAAGUUACUCUAAGGAUAACAGGCUGAUCUCCCCCAAGAGUUCACAUCGACGGGGAGGUUUGGCACCUUGAUGUCGGCUCAUCGCAUCCUGGGGCGGUAGUACGUCCCAAGGGUUGGGCUGUUCGCCCAUGAAAGCGGUACGCGAGCUGGGUUCAGAACGUCGUGAGACAGUUCGGUCCAUAUCCGGUGUAGGCGUUAGAAUAUUGAGAGGAGCCUUCUUUAGUACGAGAGGACCGAGAAGGACAUACCUCUGGUGUACCAGUUAUCGUGCCAACGGUAAACGCUGGGUAGCUAUGUAUGGAGUGGAUAACCGCUGAAAGCAUCUAAGUGGGAAGCCCACCUCAAGAUAAGUAUUCUCAC